CUCCUUUCUUUAAUAAUAAUGCAUUUACUUUAGAUCCGUUCUUACUUCCGCACCCCUUUUUCCUUUUUUAGGUGGUUAGGCAUCAGAUUACCAUCCGUCUCACAGAAACUCCCGACCUUAUCUAUCUUGCUCCCAUGGGAAACCUAGAUCCAACUGAUCUAAUCAAUUUGGAAACCCAUAGGAUCCCUUUUAAGCAAUCAACCAUGGACCUAGAUCACUGGUCCAGUACCUU
This 232-nucleotide long non-coding RNA is filed under the name Setaria italica (foxtail millet). Its description in RNAcentral is "long non-coding RNA (SITA_LNC006887)". The record is from RNAcentral. Lineage: Eukaryota; Viridiplantae; Streptophyta; Magnoliopsida; Poales; Poaceae.